GACGAACGCUGGCGGCGUGCCUAAUACAUGCAAGUAGAACGCUGAAGGAGGAGCUUGCUUCUCUGGAUGAGUUGCGAACGGGUGAGUAACGCGUAGGUAACCUGCCUGGUAGCGGGGGAUAACUAUUGGAAACGAUAGCUAAUACCGCAUAAUAGUAGAUGUUGCAUGACAUUUGCUUAAAAGGUGCAAUUGCAUCACUACCAGAUGGACCUGCGUUGUAUUAGCUAGUUGUUGGGGUAACGGCUCACCAAGGCGACGAUACAUAGCCGACCUGAGAGGGGGGUCGGCCACACUGGGACUGAGACACGGCCCAGACUCCUACGGGAGGCAGCAGUAGGGAAUCUUCGGCAAUAGACGGAAGUCUGACCGAGCAACGCCGCGUGAGUGAAGAAGGUUUUCGGAUCGUAAAGCUCUGUUGUAAGAGAAGAACGAGUGUGAGAGUGGAAAGUUCACACUGUGACGGUAUCUUACCAGAAAGGGACGGCUAACUACGUG
This 495-nucleotide ribosomal RNA is filed under the name uncultured bacterium. RNAcentral describes it as "partial 16S ribosomal RNA". It matches the Rfam family "Bacterial small subunit ribosomal RNA", at positions 28 to 507 of the family's 1533-position model. The record is from RNAcentral.